Molecule: ribosomal RNA, 458 nt
Filed under: uncultured bacterium
Lineage: Bacteria
Description: partial 16S ribosomal RNA
Rfam family: Bacterial small subunit ribosomal RNA
Source: RNAcentral
CCUACGGGUGGCAGCAGUGGGGAAUAUUGCACAAUGGGGGAAACCCUGAUGCAGCGACGCCGCGUGAGUGAAGAAGUAUUUCGGUAUGUAAAGCUCUAUCAGCCGGGAAGAAAUAGCGACCUUUGGGUCGCCAGACGGUACCUGACUAAGAAGCCCCGGCCAACUACGUGCCAGCAGCCGCGGUCAUACGUAGGGGGCAAGCGUUAUCCGGAUUUACUGGGUGUAAAGGGAGCGUAGACGGCAGCACAAGGCUGAAGUGAAAGGCCGGGGCUUAACCCCGGAACUGCCUUGGAAACUGUGCAGCUAGAGUGCAGGAGAGGUAAGUGGAAUGCCUAGUGUAGCGGUGAAAUGCAUAGAUAUUAGGAGGAACACCAGUGGCGAAGGCGGCUUACUGGACUGUAACUGACGUUGAGGCUCGAAAGCGUGGGGAGCAAACAGGAUUAGAUACCCCUGUAGUC